AAUUAGACUUAAGGCUUCAGGCCAUGUAACAAUCAUCUGCAGCCAAGCUAAUAGAUCUGUAGCCAAGCAAGAAAAACCAGAAUUAUUCUUGUCAUUCUUUAGAAGAGAUGACUAGCAUUCAGAACACCUGCACAACAUGUAACAAACAUCUGCAGAACAAGCUAUGUAACAAGCAUCUGCAGAACACCUGAACAGCCAAACCAUCUGCAGAACACCUGAACAACCAAACAUUUAUACACUGCCAAGUUGCAAUUGUAACUAAGAUGCAGCAGCAACAUCAGGAACACCUGAACAGCCAAUUGCACUGUGCCAAUUAUAUUUACACACUGUCAAUGCCAAGAACACCUGAGCAGCCAAACCAUAAACACAAAUACACAACAUUCAACAAGUUUGAGGUCAUGCAGCAGCUAAAAGAUGCUAACAGUAACACUAGCAGUUCUUUUAAAAAAUGCUAACAGUAACACAAUAUUUAGUCCAUUAGCCCGCCGAUUAACAUAUAGUCAUAUAUCAGUCUGAAUAAAGUUGAAGAUUCCACCAAGUCUAAAGAAGAUUUUAACAAAAUAGAAAGAGAAAACAAAAUCUUUUUGUAAUCUUCUUCAUUUAUCUUUAUGCUGUCAAAUACAAAUUACAAUAUGAUCUAUCCAAAAUUAAUCAGAGUACUAUGUCCAUUGCUAAAGAACAGAGAGCAGCAGCAAAAAUUAGUACAGUUUCUAUCCAGUUAGCUCUAGUAAGAUACAAUUACUACAGUUUGUGCAACGGGCUACAUAAAUUAGGUUACAGAAUCAUUUUCCUGUAUCAGUUACUUCAAUCAAUAUCUAUACACAGCUGCCAACGCUUACUGCUAAAGAAAUUUCACGAAACAACUAUCUUCAUUCUCUGUUCUACUGAUAUACCUUAUAGGAUUUUCAUAUGUCAACCUACUUUAUACCUAAUCAAACACUUGAUCCAAAAAAAUGAGUUUCGAAUAUAAAAUUAAUCUUCGCUAAAGAACAUCGCUAGAAAUCUUCAUCAAAUUCAUUUCCAUCGCUAGAAAGUAGAAAUCGCUAGAAAGUAGAAACAUACCUUUGAAAAUUGAAACUAUCGCAAGUUCGCAACAGCAACAUCUUCGUUUGCCCGAAAUUUGUGAGGACUGAGGAAUGAGGAGUCGGAGCUCGGAAGUCGAAAAUCGCCAGGAAGUCGGAAAUCGCCAAAUCGCCGCUCAACUGUAUUGUAAUCUAAAUUGCUAAAUGCUAAUGCCCUAACCACUAACCAGUAACCAGCUAACCUUUAGAGUUUAGGCUUGGGUUUGGGCAUAAGAAUUAAGAUGGGCUUGGGCAUAAGAAUUAAGAGGGCGAUGGGCUGGGUGGGCAGUAAUAACUAAGAAAAUAUCUUUUAAAAAUUGGAUAUUCGGUAUUUCGGUAUACCGAAAUUUCAGAAUUUUAAUACCGAAGACCGUACCAAAAUGCCGAAAUUGCAAUACCGAAUUGGACCAAAAUACCGAAAAAAACCGAAACUAAAAUACCGAAUUAAUUCGGUCCGGUUCAGAAUUCGGUUUUUCGGAUUUUAUGCCCACCCCUGUUGCUUUCUUGUCUCUUUCUUGCUUCAUUCCGAAUUCCCAUGUUAGGGCCCAAGUUUGCUGAACUGUGCUAAGUGUUUUGCAUUGACUAUAUGUCUUGCUACACGCAAACGUUUUUAAUGAACAUGUUAGGGAAUUAAGUUCUAUUAUAUUGUUUUCUCUACCGUGUGACACGCUAGUGUAUGUUGAUCAUAUAUAGCAUGGACGUAAUAUAGUUUUAUUCAAUUUUGUCACUUUCUAUGUAUUCUACGUACUGUUACUACGUACGUGAUUUUGUAUGGAUUUAUUAAUACUCCAUGUGUACUUC
Molecule: long non-coding RNA, 1862 nt
Filed under: Nicotiana tabacum (common tobacco)
Lineage: Eukaryota; Viridiplantae; Streptophyta; Magnoliopsida; Solanales; Solanaceae
Description: long non-coding RNA (NTAB_LNC005781)
Source: RNAcentral